AUUGAACGCUGGCGGCAGGCCUAACACAUGCAAGUCGAGCGAGCGGCGGACGGGUGAGUACUGUCUGGGAAACUGCCUGAUGGAGGGGGAUAACUACUGGAAACGGUAGCUACUACCGCAUACCAUCAGAUGUGCCCAGAUGGGAUUAGCUAGUAGGUGGGGUAACGGCUAACCUAGGCGACGAUCCCUAGCUGGUCUGAGAGGAUGACCAGCCACACUGGAACUGAGACACGGUCCAGACGCCUACGGGGGGCAGCAGUGGGGAAUAUUGCACAAUGGGCGCAAGCCUGAGGCAGCCAGGCCGGGUGUGUGAAGAAGGCCUUCGGGUUGUAAAGCACUUUCAGCGGGGAGGCGUUACCCGCAGAAGAAGCACCGGCUAACUCCGUGCCAGCAGCCGCGGUAUUC
This 405-nucleotide ribosomal RNA is filed under the name uncultured bacterium. RNAcentral describes it as "partial 16S ribosomal RNA". It matches the Rfam family "Bacterial small subunit ribosomal RNA", at positions 29 to 525 of the family's 1533-position model. The record is from RNAcentral.